AUUGAACGCUGGCGGCAGGCCUAACACAUGCAAGUCGAACGGUAACAGGAAGAAGCUUGCUUCUUUGCUGACGAGUGGCGGACGGGUGAGUAAUGUCUGGGAAACUGCCUGAUGGAGGGGGAUAACUACUGGAAACGGUAGCUAAUACCGCAUAACGUCGCAAGACCAAAGAGGGGGACCUUCGGGCCUCUUGCCAUCGGAUGUGCCCAGAUGGGAUUAGCUAGUAGGUGGGGUAACGGCUCACCUAGGCGACGAUCCCUAGCUGGUCUGAGAGGAUGACCAGCCACACUGGAACUGAGACACGGUCCAGACUCCUACGGGAGGCAGCAGUGGGGAAUAUUGCACAAUGGGCGCAAGCCUGAUGCAGCCAUACCGCGUGUAUGAAGAAGGCCUUCGGGUUGUAAAGUACUUUCAGCGGGGAGGAAGGGAGUAAAGUUAAUACCUUUGCUCAUUGACGUUACCCGCAGAAGAAGCACCGGCUAACUCCGUG
This 490-nucleotide ribosomal RNA is filed under the name uncultured bacterium. RNAcentral's name for it is "partial 16S ribosomal RNA". It matches the Rfam family "Bacterial small subunit ribosomal RNA", at positions 30 to 507 of the family's 1533-position model. The record is from RNAcentral.